GGGAGGAAGUGUGAAUGACUGAGUGGCGGACGGGUGAGUAACGCGUGGGCAACCUGCCCCGUACCGGGGGAUAACAGCCGGAAACGGCUGCUAAUACCGCAUAUGCUUUGCGGGCCGCAUGGCCCGCAAAGCAAAACUCCGGUGGUACGGGAUGGGCCCGCGUCUGAUUAGCUGGUUGGCGGGGUAACGGCCCACCAAGGCGACGAUCAGUAGCCGGCCUGAGAGGGCGGCCGGCCACAUUGGGACUGAGACACGGCCCAGACUCCUGCGGGAGGCAGCAGUGGGGAAUAUUGCACAAUGGGGGAAACCCUGAUGCAGCGACGCCGCGUGGGCGAGGAAGUACCUCGGUAUGUAAAGCCCUAUCAGCAGGGAAGAAACAGGACAGUACCUGACUAAGAAGCCCCGGCUAACUACGUGCCAGCAGCCGCGGUAAUACGUAGGGGGCAAGCGUUAUCCGGAUUCACUGGGCGUAAAGGGAGCGCAGGCGGCAUGGCAAGUCUGAUGUGAAAACCCGGGGCCCAACCCCGGGAGUGCAUUGGAAACUGCCAGGCUGGAGUGUCGGAGGGGUAAGCGGAAUUCCUAGUGUAGCGGUGAAAUGCGUAGAUAUUAGGAGGAACACCAGUGGCGAAG
Molecule: ribosomal RNA, 630 nt
Filed under: uncultured bacterium
Lineage: Bacteria
Description: bacterial SSU rRNA
Rfam family: Bacterial small subunit ribosomal RNA
Source: RNAcentral